Apodemus sylvaticus (European woodmouse) is the source of this 531-nucleotide long non-coding RNA. RefSeq lists it as uncharacterized. The transcript is spliced from 3 exons. NCBI's taxonomy places the organism in Eukaryota, Metazoa, Chordata, Mammalia, Rodentia, Muridae. The record is from RefSeq and is a predicted model, not a curated record.
GACGAAGGCGCGGCCAACCCCCGCCAGCCUCGCACAUGCACUUGCACACGUAGGCGGGAGCCGCGGGCGGUCCUGCACCCCGCACACAGGCAGGCUGCAGCUGGGCGCUGAGCCCAGGCACGUACCGGGGCGGGGCCAGGCCGCCCGGGCUGCGUUUCCACCCGCAGCAGGUAGCACCGCGCCCUGAGCAGGAGUACUGGGCUCUCCGCCGGCCAGAGUGGGUCAGGCUCGACUGCUCUCAGGCACCUGCCUUUCUCUGCGAUCCAGAAUGCAGCCAAGACCGAAUAAAGGAAAUCACAUAGUAAGCGGAGAUCGGGUGUCUGAGCAGCGCCUUGGAUAAAAUCCACUCAUGACAGGGUCUCACUCUGUAGCCUUGGCUGGCUUAAAAUAGUUACCAACUGGACUGGACUGAAAACCAAGAGAUCUGCCUAUAUCUGCGUCCUAACUGCUAGGUCUAUUAUGUCUUUGUGGAACUUACCAGCAUCCAGAAGUUUUCUCACACGUAAGUAACUGAUGGUGAGUCUCAUGACA